RNAcentral lists this ribosomal RNA (421 nucleotides) under uncultured bacterium. RNAcentral describes it as "partial 16S ribosomal RNA". It matches the Rfam family "Bacterial small subunit ribosomal RNA", at positions 359 to 773 of the family's 1533-position model. The record is from RNAcentral.
CAGAUUGGACGAUCGGCGAAAGCCCGAGCCAUCCAUGCCGCGUGUGUGAAGAUGGUCUUCGACUUGUUCAGCCCUUUAAGUUGGCAGGACGUGCAGUAAGCUAAUACCUUGCUGUAUUGACCUUACCGCCAGACUAAGCACCGGCUACCUUCGUCCGAACAGCCACGGUAAUACGAAGGGUGCAAGCGUUAAUCGGAAUUGCUGGGCGUAAAGAGCGCGUAGGUGGUUUGUUAAGUUGGAAGGGAAAGCCCCGGGUUCAACCUGGGAACUGCUUUCAAAACUGGCAAGCUAGAAUAUGGCAGAGGGUGGUGGAAUUUCCUGUGUACCGGUGAAAUGCGUAGAUAUAGGAGGGAACGCCAGUGGCGAAGGCGACCACCUGGGCUAAUACUGACACUGAGGUGCGAAAGCGUGGGGAGCAAAC